Molecule: ribosomal RNA, 1254 nt
Filed under: Niphargus sp. 29 SB-2021
Lineage: Eukaryota; Metazoa; Arthropoda; Malacostraca; Amphipoda; Niphargidae
Description: partial 28S ribosomal RNA
Rfam family: Eukaryotic large subunit ribosomal RNA
Source: RNAcentral
AAGGCUUCAGUACGACCCAGUCAGAACUAUAAGUCUCAAAGCCCCGACGAGUAGGGUGGCGUGCCGGUGCGCGUUGAAGGCCAAGACGUGAGUCAGGCUGGAGCCGCCGGUAGUGCAGAUCUUGGUGGUAGUAGCAAGUACUCUGGUGAACCAACCUGGAGCUGUGAGGUCUGGAUCAGGGUUCCAUGUCAACAGUGAUUGAACAUGGGUGAGUCGAUCCUAAGCCAACUGUGAAAGCAGUGACAUCCCGACAAAGGGGCGUAUUACGUGUACCGGUCACUUGCACCCCUGCACACACACUGAGGCAAAGUCUGGCUGUCUGGAAGGAAAGAACCCGCGCGCGCAUCGUGAUCACAGUCAAGUGUGCGUGCGUUAGCGCGGGAGGGAAGCAAAAGGUCUGGUUACGCUCAAAAGCGUUGCUCUUAACGGAAAGAGCGUGUGUGUUGCAGGUGCGCGCGAGUCUGACUUACAUGAUGUCCCCUGCGUCUGGUUCUAUGUCUGGCGAAAGGGAAUGGGGACUUUGUUCCUUGACCGGUCCCGGCACCCUCGAUAGGCUUUGCCAAUCAAUGGUCCAUGCAAAUGGAACCAGGCCACAGCCGCUGGCAGUCGCCCGAGGAAGAGUUUUCUUUUCUGCUUAACGCACGAGAUCAUCCCUGGAAACAGUUCGGCUGGCGAAAGGGUGCCCCGUUGCGGCAGAGCGCCACGACUGUCGUGCGCGUCUCGGUGUUCCUGCCGGUCCGUGAAGACGUGGUCGAGGGGAUUGCUAUCUUGUAUCAACGAAACGCCCGACAAGUUCGGGACGGACCGUACCCUAUAUCCGCAUCUGGUCUCCAAGGUUCGUAGCCUCUGCAGAGUCAGACACAUGUAGGUAAGGGAAGUCGGCAAACUCGAUCCGUAACUUCGGGAAAAGGAUUGGCUCUGAGGGCUGAGCUGGGCCGGGCCUUGCCUGCAAAGCAGUACCUAUAGUGACCGGAGUUUCAGGAGUGCGAGGGGCUCUAGUAGCUGCCCGCGUUCGCGUGGGCACGAACGAGUCCACCGCUCCGCUCCAACCACGAACGGCUGUGACGGCAAGGGCUCUGGGCGGGAGCGUUCAAACCGUUGGCCCCCAGCUCGUCUGGGUGGCGGCGGUGCUCCGUCUGACCCAUACGGCUCCAGCGGCUAGCGGCUAACUCAGAACUGUCAUGGACCAAGGGAAUCCGACUGUCUAAUUAAAACAAAGCGUCGUGACGGCCCCUGUUGGGUGUUGACGCGACG